Molecule: ribosomal RNA, 460 nt
Filed under: uncultured bacterium
Lineage: Bacteria
Description: partial 16S ribosomal RNA
Rfam family: Bacterial small subunit ribosomal RNA
Source: RNAcentral
CCUACGGGUGGCUGCAGUGAGGAAUAUUGGUCAAUGGCCGGAAGGCUGAACCAGCCAUGCCGCGUGAAGGUCAGUGCCCUAUGGGCGUUAAACUUCUUUUGUGCGGGAGCAAUAAUGGUCACGUGUGGCCAGACGAGAGUACCGUACGAAUAAGCAUCGGCUAACUCCGUGCCAGCAGCCGCGGUAAUACGGGGGAUGCAAGCGUUAUCCGGAUUUAUUGGGUUUAAAGGGUGCGUAGGCUGGGAGGUAAGUCAGCGGUGAAAAGCCCCCGCUCAACGGGGUGAAGUGCCAUUGAUACUGGCUGGCUGGAGUGCGGAUGCGGUGGGAGGAAUGUGUGGUGUAGCGGUGAAAUGCAUAGAUAUCACACAGAACACCGAUUGCGAAGGCAUCUCACGAAUCCGCGAUUGACGCUGAUGCACGAAGGCGUGGGUAUCAAACAGGAUUAGAUACCCCAGUAGUC